Molecule: ribosomal RNA, 484 nt
Filed under: uncultured bacterium
Lineage: Bacteria
Description: partial 16S ribosomal RNA
Rfam family: Bacterial small subunit ribosomal RNA
Source: RNAcentral
AUUGAACGCUGGCGGCAGGCCUAACACAUGCAAGUCGAGCGGAUGAAGGGAGCUUGCUCCUGGAUUCAGCGGCGGACGGGCGAGUAAUGCCUAGGAAUCUGCCUGGUAGUGGGGGCUAACGUCCGGAAACGGGCGCUAAUACCGCAUACGUCCAGAGGGAGAAAGUGGGGGAUCUUCGGACCACACGCUAUCAGAUGAGCCUAGGUCGGAUUAGCUAGUUGGUGGGGUAAAGGCCUACCAAGGCGACGAUCCGUAACUGGUCUGAGAGGCUGAUCAGACACACUGGAACUGAGACACGGUCCAGACUCCUACGGGAGGCAGCAGUGGGGAAUAUUGGACAAUGGGCGAAAGCCUGAUCCAGCCAUGCCGCGUGUGUGAAGAAGGUCUUCGGAUUGUAAAGCACUUUAAGUUGGGAGGAAGGGCAGUAAGUGAAUACCUUGCUGUUUUGACGUUACCAACAGAAUAAGCACCGGCUAACUUCGUG